GAUGAAGAACGCAGCGAAAUGCGAUAAGUAAUGUGAAUUGCAGAAUUCAGUGAAUCAUCGAAUCUUUGAACGCACAUUGCGCCCCCUGGUAUUCCGGGGGGCAUGCCUGUCCGAGCGUCAUUACAACCCUCAAGCUCAGCUUGGUAUUGGGCCCCGCCGACCCGGCGGGCCCUAAAGUCAGUGGCGGUGCCGUCCGGCUCCGAGCGUAGUAAUUCUUCUCGCUCUGGAGGUCCGGUCGUGUGCUCGCCAGCAACCCCCAAUUUUUUUCAGGUUGUCCUCGGAUCAGGUAGGGAUACCCGCUGAACUUAAGCAUAUCAAUAAGCGGAGGA
RNAcentral lists this unclassified non-coding RNA (329 nucleotides) under soil metagenome. RNAcentral's name for it is "partial contains 5.8S ribosomal RNA, internal transcribed spacer 2, and large subunit ribosomal RNA". The stretch from base 1 to 120 matches the Rfam family "5.8S ribosomal RNA", at positions 35 to 154 of the family's 154-position model. The record is from RNAcentral.